AUUAGAGUUUGAUCAUGGCUCAGGACGAACGCUGGCGGCGUGCUUAACACAUGCAAGUCGAGCGGGACCUUCGGGUCUAGCGGCGGACGGGUGAGUAUCGCGUGGGAACGUACCCUUUUCUACGGAAUAGCCUCGGGAAACUGAGAGUAAUACCGUAUACGCCCUUUUGGGGAAAGAUUUAUCGGAGAAGGAUCGGCCCGCGUUGGAUUAGGUAGUUGGUGGGGUAAUGGCCUACCAAGCCGACGAUCCAUAGCUGGUUUGAGAGGAUGAUCAGCCACACUGGGACUGAGACACGGCCCAGACUCCUACGGGAGGCAGCAGUGGGGAAUCUUAGACAAUGGGGGCAACCCUGAUCUAGCCAUGCCGCGUGAGUGAUGAAGGCCUUAGGGUUGUAAAGCUCUUUCAGCUGGGAAGAUAAUGACGGUACCAGCAGAAGAAGCCCCGGCUAACUCCGUGCCAGCAGCCGCGGUAAUAAU
Molecule: ribosomal RNA, 476 nt
Filed under: uncultured bacterium
Lineage: Bacteria
Description: bacterial SSU rRNA
Rfam family: Bacterial small subunit ribosomal RNA
Source: RNAcentral